RNAcentral lists this non-coding RNA (28 nucleotides) under Mus musculus (house mouse). Lineage: Eukaryota; Metazoa; Chordata; Mammalia; Rodentia; Muridae. The record is from RNAcentral.
UAAACAACUAAAACAGAGGGAACAACUU